CCCUCCCUCUUUCUUCCUGCCUAACACAUGCAAGUCGAACGAGACCUUCGGGUCUAGUGGCGCACGGGUGCGUAACGCGUGGGAACCUGCCCUUAGGUUCGGAAUAACUCCCCGAAAGGGGUGCUAAUACCGGAUAAUGUCUUCGGACCAAAGAUUUAUCGCCUUUGGAUGGGCCCGCGUUGGAUUAGCUAGUUGGUAGGGUAAAAGCCUACCAAGGCGACGAUCCAUAGCUGGUCUGAGAGGAUGAUCAGCCACACUGGGACUGAGACACGGCCCAGACUCCUACGGGAGGCAGCAGUGGGGAAUAUUGGACAAUGGGCGAAAGCCUGAUCCAGCAAUGCCGCGUGAGUGAUGAAGGCCUUAGGGUUGUAAAGCUCUUUUACCCGGGAUGAUAAUGACAGUACCGGGAGAAUAAGCUCCGGCUAACUCCGUG
RNAcentral lists this ribosomal RNA (433 nucleotides) under uncultured bacterium. RNAcentral's name for it is "partial 16S ribosomal RNA". It matches the Rfam family "Bacterial small subunit ribosomal RNA", at positions 36 to 507 of the family's 1533-position model. The record is from RNAcentral.